Molecule: ribosomal RNA, 427 nt
Filed under: Plantibacter sp.
Lineage: Bacteria; Bacillati; Actinomycetota; Actinomycetes; Micrococcales; Microbacteriaceae
Description: bacterial SSU rRNA
Rfam family: Bacterial small subunit ribosomal RNA
Source: RNAcentral
CGAUGAAGCCCAGCUUGCUGGGUGGAUUAGUGGCGAACGGGUGAGUAACACGUGAGUAACCUGCCCUUGACUCUGGGAUAAGCGUUGGAAACGACGUCUAAUACCGGAUACGAGCUUCCACCGCAUGGUGAGUUGCUGGAAAGAAUUUUGGUCAAGGAUGGACUCGCGGCCUAUCAGCUUGUUGGUGAGGUAAUGGCUCACCAAGGCGACGACGGGUAGCCGGCCUGAGAGGGUGACCGGCCACACUGGGACUGAGACACGGCCCAGACUCCUACGGGAGGCAGCAGUGGGGAAUAUUGCACAAUGGGCGAAAGCCUGAUGCAGCAACGCCGCGUGAGGGACGACGGCCUUCGGGUUGUAAACCUCUUUUAGCAGGGAAGAAGCGAAAGUGACGGUACCUGCAGAAAAAGCACCGGCUAACUACGUG